AGUGAACGCUGGCGGUAGGCCUAACACAUGCAAGUCGAACGGCAGCACAGUAAGAGCUUGCUCUUACGGGUGGCGAGUGGCGGACGGGUGAGGAAUACAUCGGAAUCUACUUUUUCGUGGGGGAUAACGUAGGGAAACUUACGCUAAUACCGCAUACGACCUACGGGUGAAAGCAGGGGAUCUUCGGACCUUGCGCGAUUGAAUGAGCCGAUGUCGGAUUAGCUAGUUGGCGGGGGAAAGGCCCACCAAGGCGACGAUCCGUAGCUGGUCUGAGAGGAUGAUCAGCCACACUGGAACUGAGACACGGUCCAGACUCCUACGGGAGGGAGCAGUGGGGAAUAUUGGACAAUGGGCGCAAGCCUGAUCCAGCCAUACCGCGUGAGUGAAGAAGGCCUUCGGGUUGUAAAGCCCUUUUGUUGGGAAAGAAAAGCAGCAGGUUAAUACCCCGCUGUUCUGACGGUACCCAAAGAAUAAGCACCGGCUAACUUCGUG
RNAcentral lists this ribosomal RNA (492 nucleotides) under uncultured bacterium. RNAcentral describes it as "partial 16S ribosomal RNA". It matches the Rfam family "Bacterial small subunit ribosomal RNA", at positions 29 to 507 of the family's 1533-position model. The record is from RNAcentral.